GGCGAUCCGUAGCUGGUCUGAGAGGGUGACCAGCCACACUGGGACUGAGACACGGCCCAGACUCCUACGGGAGGCAGCAGUGGGGAAUAUUGGACAAUGGGCGAAAGCCUGAUCCAGCAACGCCGCGUGAGGGAUGACGGCCUUCGGGUUGUAAACCUCUUUCAGCGGGGACGAAGCGAAAGUGACGGUACCCGCAGAAGAAGGACCGGCCAACUACGUGCCAGCAGCCGCGGUAAUACGUAGGGUCCGAGCGUUGUCCGGAAUUAUUGGGCGUAAAGGGCUCGUAGGCGGUUUGUCGCGUCGGGAGUGAAAACACGGGGCUUAACCCCGUGCCUGCUUCCGAUACGGGCAGACUAGAGGUAUGCAGGGGAGAACGGAAUUCCUGGUGUAGCGGUGAAAUGCGCAGAUAUCAGGAGGAACACCGGUGGCGAAGGCGGUUCUCUGGGCAUUACCUGACGCUGAGGAGCGAAAGUGUGGGGAGCGAACAGGAUUAGAUACCCUGGUAGUCCACACCGUAAACGUUGGGCGCUAGGUGUGGGGCUCAUUCCACGAGUUCCGUGCCGCAGCUAACGCAUUAAGCGCCCCGCCUGGGGAGUACGGCCGCAAGGCUAAAACUCAAAUGAAUUGACGG
RNAcentral lists this ribosomal RNA (631 nucleotides) under uncultured bacterium. RNAcentral's name for it is "bacterial SSU rRNA". It matches the Rfam family "Bacterial small subunit ribosomal RNA", at positions 275 to 916 of the family's 1533-position model. The record is from RNAcentral.